This 441-nucleotide ribosomal RNA is filed under the name uncultured bacterium. Its description in RNAcentral is "partial 16S ribosomal RNA". It matches the Rfam family "Bacterial small subunit ribosomal RNA", at positions 338 to 795 of the family's 1533-position model. The record is from RNAcentral.
CCUACGGGAGGCAGCAGUGGGGGAUAUUGCACAAUGGGGGAAACCCUGAUGCAGCGACGCCGCGUGGGUGAAGAAGUAUUUCGGUAUGUAAAGCCCUAUCAGCAGGGAAGAAAGAAGACGGUACCUGACUAAGAAGCCCCGGCUAACUACGUGCCAGCAGCCGCGGUAAUACGUAGGGGGCGAGCGUUAUCCGGAUUCACUGGGUGUAAAGGGAGCGUAGACGGCCGUGCAAGCCAGGAGUGAAAGCCCGGGGCGCAACCCCGGGACUGCUCUUGGAACUGUGCGGCUGGAGUGCGGGAGGGGCAGGCGGAAUUCCUGGUGUAGCGGUGAAAUGCGUAGAUAUCAGGAGGAACACCGGCGGCGAAGGCGGCCUGCUGGACCGCGACUGACGUUGAGGCUCGAAAGCGUGGGGAGCGAACAGGAUUAGAUACCCGGGUAGUC